This 28333-nucleotide long non-coding RNA is filed under the name Malus domestica (apple). Its description in RNAcentral is "long non-coding RNA (MDOM_LNC007326)". Lineage: Eukaryota; Viridiplantae; Streptophyta; Magnoliopsida; Rosales; Rosaceae. The record is from RNAcentral.
UUUUUUUUUUUUUUGUGGAGGGAAUAGAGGGGAUAAAUUACAGAGAAAUGCUAAGGAGAUUCUCCAAGUGGAACUCUCUGCCAUUUCUUUAAAUUACAAGAUGUUAUAUUCAAUCAUUUUGUUAGGAUUAGAAGUUUUUGUCAUGAACAAUUCAUUUUAAACUCUUAAAUUAGACAAAAUUUAUUCAUUUCUUUUUUCAAAAUAGCUUGAAUAUAUUGAAUUAUUCAACUCACUUCAAUCUUAGAUGUUAAACGAGCCCAAACUUCGAUUUCUUUGCAUGACAAACCAACAUUGGGAAAUAUUGAAGAGGAGUGAAAAAAAAAAACAUAUAUAUUUUGACAAACGAUAGUUUUAGUAGAUUAAAUUGUUGAAUGUUAUGGGUGAGAAGGAUUGAAGAGAAUCACAUCCACACCAAGAUGCAUAGGUAAUAUUACUUUUUGUCACUACGGUAAAAUAUAUAACUUGUCCCUAGAUGGUUUUUGCUAAAGAAUCUAGCAAAGAGAGGAAAUUGAAAUUAAAAAAUUUCUUGACCCCAUGUUGGUUUAGAGGUCGCUUAAAUCAGUCGACAAUUUUCUUUUUAUGUGUAUAACAAAAGUAUCCUUGACUCUUUUGGUUUUUGACCUACAUUUCAUUUCAUUUGAUUUGACUCUUUUGGUGCUUGACACUAAUUAUCCAUGAUUUAAUAAAAUAAUUUUAGAAAAGCCCAAAUAAUUAAUCAAUUUGGGAAGAAACAGAAGUGAAUAUUUGCUAGAAAAUCUUGUUGAAUAUACAUCCAAUAAUAUGUAUCUUAUUGAAUGAGAAUCCUAUUGUGAGGAUCUUGAAAAUUCGUGUAUAAUGUCUGUUCAUCGUACAUCGUGUAAUUAUAAAUUUUUUUAAAAUUUUUUAUUUAAAAUUAAAUACAAACGGUACCUGACAAAAAAUGACCGCACAAUGUACGACGAAUAUACACGAUUCACGAAUUCUCUUAAGAGAAUCCGCAUUCUAUCUUGUUGGGGCCCUGCUGAUGUGUGAUAAUGCCCAUUGGCCAACACAUUUUCUGGUUUCAAAAUAAUGUAAGAACAAAACAAAAAAAUCAAUAAUAUGUCACACAUAUACCAUCAGUUGUCCCCAUUUUUUAGAGACAAUAAUAUGUCACACAUAUUUGUACUGAACUUCCAAUAUUUCCACCCUUAGAUUAAUUUUAGUUCAAAGAUCAUCAUUUUCUGAAUGUCUAUUUUAACUCUACAAUUCUCACCCUUAUUUAUGUGAAAAGUCUCGAAAUUAUAAACAAAUGAUCGAAUAAUAAAUGAGAAGUUCUUGUGUUCACCUGUCGUAAAUGACUAGGUAUGACUAGUGUGAGGUUGGUUUGAGUUAAACAAAGAAGGUUGUUAUUUUGUACAUAAAAUCGUACAGGUGAGUUGGUAUGAAUAAUCAGACAUUAGAAUUUUUAAUUCCUAUAACCGAAUAAAGGGUUGAACAUAAAAAAAAAGGUUUGCCAACACAUAUUAAAUGGGAUCAUGUGAAGUUACAAUUCCCAUCUAUGAUGGAAAAUCAAAAGUGGUGAUCAAUGUGACAUAUCAAUGACUAUGAAAUGUGACUAUUUAGAAGGAUCCAAAUUUCAGAUGAGCACAUGCCAUUUUGGAAAGAGAUUCUUUCCGGAUCUCUUUCAUCAAGAUUAUCGGAUUAAGUGAUUUGAGAUUUUGAAAUUUCAUCCUGGCAAAAAAUUAUUAUAUUUUUUAAGAGAUCAAAACAGGUAGGUCGUUGAAUGAAAUUUCAAAAGCUUGAAUUACUUGAUCCAGUGACCUUAAUGAAAAAAAUCCAGAGAGCAUCUAUUUCCUGCCCCUUUCACUGCUUGUGGACCGACCUUAAUUUAUCCUCCACAAUUUUUGUACGAAAACAGUCUAUGAUCAAUUGGGUUUUUGGCCUUUUUCCCAUCCUUGUUUUAUAGGGUCCAAUGCCUUCAAUUUCCACCUCAAAAAUUUCCUUGUGCUUGUUGAAUAUAAUUGGGGUGACGAGGCCUAAUAAAAGGGUUGUGUUUGUCAUAUUCAUGUCAUCUUUGUGUUUUUUUUAAUAGGUCGUGUUGUAUUAAAUUCGUUAUUUUAACAGGUUCUUAACAGAUGAUCUAAUAACGAUAUCUUAUCGAGUCCUUAACAGAGACUCGAUAAUGAUAAAAAACGUUAACGGGUUACCCAAUAACGACCGGACUCGUUAACAUGUUGAUCUGAAACCCGUUGUUUUUGUACGUGUCGAAUUAAAAGGUCUUUUAAGAAAUUGUCAAGCAUGUAUAUCCUACUACUUUUUACCACUUUUGCUAGGUGAGAAUAAGAUUUAUGCCAUUAACUUUCAUUAUUUUCUUACGAAAUGGAAUUGAUUAUUUUAAUUCAUGGUUUAUCUUCUGUUAGAAAAAUGGAUACGCUACUCUACCAGAAAAUCACUUAAAAUUCUAAUUAAAUACCCUUAGAAUCAUUUGAAUUAAGAUCCUUCAAAAUCUCGUACACCCCUGCAUAUACGAUAUAUGCUAGGUCAAUGUUUGAGUUCCAACAACAUGCUCUGAGCGCUGAAGUAGUUUAGCCCCCACGAGCGACAAUGGAGACUCAAGCCAACCACUAAGCGAGAAAUUCAAAAGUUUUACCCACUGAACGAAAUGGGGGAGUAACUCAACUCCACUUGCAAAGUUUUUGAACAUUGCAAAGGGUCCCGCAACAUGUUCUUGGCACUAAAGAGUAGGUUUAGCUUCAACGAGCAAGUUAUGGAGACUCAAAGCCAACAAAUUGAGCGAGACUCAGAAGUCUUACCCAUUGAUAAGCUCUUGUAAAGCUUCAUAUCUUUCCGAUAUGAACAAUUGUUCGGUACAUAUCCUCACAUGGUUCCCUACAACAUAUGAAAAUGUCAAACAAUGCAUAGUUGCUAGUUUAGCCAUAGCAAUAGCCGCCCCACGCUGGUAUUUUGUAUAGAUAUACGCCACCGACAUUACACACACACACACACAUCAUAAAUCAAACACUCUGAAGGCUCUCCUUAUGUCCAAAAUGAAAGUCAAACCUCCCCCUCUCUUGGAUUUUGUCUUUCUGGAGAAGAAUGGUAACAAAACCGCCCAUAUCUUUGGCCUUUUUGACCAAAAUCAAAGAGUAGCGAGGAAGAAUUGUAUCCUUUUGAUUAAGAGUUUGUUUGAAAAUAUUUUUAAAAUGACUAAAAUCACUUUUAGUGAAAAUGCUUUUGAGUUCUAAAAGCAUUUGAAGCACCAAUUAUGUGCUUCUUGCAGGAAACACUUCAAGUGCUUUUUUAGAAUUCACUUGCAUUUUUACUAAUGAUAGAUCCUAAAAACAUUUUUAUCAAAAGUGCUUUUCGGCAUUUUAAAAGCACUUCUAAACAAGCCCUAAUUUUUACGUCUCUGCCCCCACUAAUUUAAUUUGGCUUGCUAAUGAUAGUGAAAGAAAUGAUUGGAUGUUGGGGAUUUUUAGCAUCAAAUUUGUAUUGGCUAUUUCUAACUGCAGUUGUGGCUCAAGGAAGAUCUUGUAUUCUAAAUGUGGUUGAUUAACCCUUUUCAAGAUCAUGUAUUAGGGCUCGUUUGGUGCCUAGGACCAGGGUUUAGGGUUUAGUUUGGAUUUGAUAACUCCUAUAAUUCAAGGUAUGUAUGAAAGCUAGAGGUAAAUAAUUUUUUAUUUUGAGGUUGAAUUGGAUAACUCAUAUAAUAUAAAAUACGAGUGAGGUAAAGGUGAAUGUUUCAUUUUGAAGGGAUUAGGUAUUAGGCAUGAAUAAAACUUGUCCCUUCUAAUUCAUAAUUUUUUUGUCAAGGUCUCCAAAUCCAUGACUAUAGAUCAAACUUCUAAUAGAGUCAUAAGUUUGCUAAAGAGUACUCCAUCUUUUACCUUCAAUCUUACGUACCGAACUAGCACUUAGGUCUUUGUGGCCAGAUUAUGAAUGCAAUUUCCAUUUGAUCCCCAACAAUUUAUCCAUUUUGUUUUUUUUUUCCUUUAAUUUCUUUUGUGGGGGGUUUCAGGGGACCAUGGACUUGUUUUUGGGCACCUGAAGGGACACACAUCACAGAACUCAUUGCAAGUUUCAAACAAAUCCCUCUAGCCUUUGCAUGUGUGGAAAUCUCUGUAACUUGAUACGACUAGUACUUCUCCUCAACCAGGUUAAAGUUGCAUGUGCUUUUGUAUUUAUUUCUCUCGUUACAAAAUUUGAUUCAUUUCGUCGUGAGAAAGAUAUACACAAGAAGAUAUAUGUGGGUUUAAUAAAUAACUAGAAGUUCUUUGUGAAUGAUGUUUUUCCUUUGUUGUAUCGAUAUUUGUAUUGGUUAUGUUUGUAGUGCAGUGAUAACAUGUUGAAAUGUUGUGCUAUGGAAAUGUUGUCUUCCGAUAUGUUAUAAAUUGAUUAUUAACAUUAUGUCAACAGUUAAUAAUCAAGGAUAAAUUAACCAUAAAAUUAUCAUUAUAUAUGAUAAUCAGGAGAUAUUCUUGUUAUCUUAGAUUGUACAACCAUUUAUGUCUAUCUCGUCCAAAACUUAAUCAUGUGAUGUGAAAUUAGACACAAAAAAAAUAUACAAGUUGUAAGACAUGUUUUCUUAAAACUAGUCCUUGAUUUGGGUUUCAACAAUUUUCAACAUCCAAACUAAGAAAAUGGAAAAAAAAACCCCAAAACAAACACAAAAGGGCCAGAAAAGACCUUUCCAUACCUAACAUAUUAUCUGGCUCCCAAGUCAUCAAUCCUGACAACCAUAGCAAUUUGCAAGUCCUGCUGUCUGAUAUGGACCCGGCUUCUCUGCCCUCCCAUUUUUCAUACACUUCUAUCAUUUUUUAUUUUGUGCAGUUACGGUUAAACCACGUCAGCAUUUUAUAUUAAUUUUUUUAAUAGAGAUAAUAAGACAAAAAACAAUAGUAAUAUAAAAUGUUUACCUGACUUAAUCGUGAUCGCACAAAUAAGAGGAGAUGAGAAUGUAUGGGAAGUAAGACGGCAAAGAAGCCAGGUCCAUCUGAUAUAUACACCAGCUCAGCAAAUAUUGCGUGUCAAAUUGUCAAUUGUCUGAAGCUCCUGCCACAAAUCAUGAUAUGGAAAACCUUGACAGGUAACCAAGAAAAAGUUUGGAAUGUGUUCCCCGUCACUCAACAUUUCUAUCCAAUCAUGCGUUGUUAUAUGUAAGUUUAACUAUACAUAUUAUUGUAUUAUUGGAUCAAAACAUUACAAUGACAAUCAUUUUGUUAUUUAUAAGUUGCUGUCGCUAACCAAAAAUUGCUACAUCAAAAGUAUUGAGUCCCAAAUUUUGAUUACAAAACUGAGCAGUCAUUUCAACUGUUCGGCUCUAUAGACGUUGUACAGAGAGAAUAUCCCGAUAUUUGAAUGCAUUUUUCACUUUGUUUUUAUUUUAAGCAGUAGUUUUAUGGACUCAAAAGGAUGGGAAGAACUUAUCCAAUCUGCAUGGCAGUUUAUAGAACUCAUUAUUCCUAACAUCUGAACCUCAUAAAACGAACUUCCCCCACCAAUUUAAGCCGCUUUCUUUUCGAGAUGCAUCAUUGUCGCACGACAGUGAACAGUCCAAGAUAGGGCAACUAGAGCAGCUACCGUUGUGUGCAACAUGAAGACCACAUUCACCAUGUCCUCUAACUGAAAGUAAAUGAACCGAAAAAAAAAUAAGGCGGAAGCUAGUUAGCAUUUGGAUUUGAUUUGCAAACGGAAUCAAGUACAGUGACUGAAUCGACAAAAAUAGAACCGCGGUUACUAAAAUUGAAAGCGAGGAACAGCACAGUGAUCGAAAAUGUAUUUUCUCACCCGUCUAGGACCGCUUUGAGCAUGGUCGGACCUAGGAUAAUAUGGUAUUUUCUCAUUCUCUUCCACGAUCCAGAUAUCCUCCCCUUCGCCCAAGAAAAGAUUGAUUGAAUUAUCAAAAAUUUGGAGCGUGAAGUUCAGUUAGAUCCAUUUAUGCGGGAGGGUAUACACAGAUUAAUAUAUUCUCGGAAGUAUUGUGGUACUGAAGUUCCCAUGAAGAAAGAGAAGUCCUAAUACGAAUUUUGUUCUGAAACACAUUGGAAAACAGAUGUUUAAGGAAACAAGAAACUUAUCAACACAGCCGAAUAAGACACAGUAAAGAGCCACGAUGAUCGGUGUAGGAAUAAGCGAAAAGUGCUUCGAUUUUUCCUGGUUCAGAAGAGCAUCAUCUAAAAUGAGAAACAUCUAGCAUACGAGAGGAACUCCCCUACAACAUGUUGUAUGAAACAUUGUCUCUGUCUCUCUCAUCGUAUGACAAUCACCAUGAUUACUACCAUUACCACCACGGCCACCACCAUUACUGUUGUUAUUGUUACCACAGCAGCCACUACCACCACCAUUAUUGUUAUUGUUGUUGCCAUCGCCACCAACCACCAUUAUUAUUGUUGGUGUUGCCAUACAACGGCCACCACCAUUAUUGUUGUUUACACCACCACUGUUUCUAUUAUUAUUACCACCGCCCCCACCAUUGUCAUUGUCAUUGUUGCCGCCACCGUUUUGGGCCAUUUGUUUUGCUAGUUUUUUGUAGUUGUGGUUAUAAAAUGAUAGCAAUUGAAUGCCAAUCCUUGGGUUUUAUUUGUAAAGUUUCUAUUCCUUGGUAAUCGAAGCCCAAAGAUCUAUGAACUAACCCAUGUUUAACUAACCAAGCAAACAAACGACUCUGCAUCUUUUUUCUCUCCCACAUUUUGAUUUGUAUUUUAUUUAUAUAAGUAUUUCACAUUUACGAUGAAUUUAUGGAAAUUGACUCGCUUUUUGCUUUGUUAUUAUGUACAAAAGAAUCCUGCCUAAUUCACUAAUUCAGGGGAAGCUACUGAACUUUUAUAUUUGAAAAAUAUUUCAUGUGGGAUCUCUGAAGUAAACGGUGGUUGAUAGAGUAAUCCUUGAUCAUAAUGUCCAGUAUGACACGAAACUUAUGGCUAGUUGUAAAAAGGGGGGGGGGGGGUUACAAAGAAGGUGGAAAGUCAAAGAGAGGUUAGAGUGCUAGGAAGAGAGCUAGGUGGCACACCUUUUUAUUUUAGGAACUUUAACGAAAAGCUCCCGGUACUGUUCAUUUUAUCGAAAAACCAUAUUUUUACACAAUCUUGGUACUAUUCAUUUUACCCUUUAUUUUGUCUUUAUCGUUAAAACUCAAAGCUUUCAAGCCAUUUUCAUUAGUUUUCCUUUGUAUUUUUGGGGGGUAAUUAGUAUUUGGUUAAACAAAGUUUCAAGUUUUAGAUUUUGUUCAUAGUGUUAACUACAUUGGAGAAGUAACAGAGAUGAACAAUUAUAAAAUUAAGAAAUGAAGUUUCACAGAGAGAAGAGAAAUGUGAGAAAGAAAUGAAUGAAGCUUUUGUAUUAAACUCAAAGAACUAAUUUUACUAUCUGUUUACUGUAGCGAUUUGUAUAGAUUAAUUAGCCGUAUUUAGGGUUCUAUUUGUUUCCCUGUAUAGUUUACUUACCUGUAUAGUUUACUUACUUGUAUAGUGCUCUUUGUAAACCCUAUUUAUACUCUACUCUCAGAGAGAAUAAUAUACAUGAUUUUACCCAUAUACUGUUUGACUUGGCAUCAGAGAAGUAAGGUUCUGGUACCCGUGAACCCUAAUCUGCGAAAAUCUAAAUCUUGCCGUUGCUGUAGAAAUUUUUCUGUGAAAAUUUUCUGCGUUCGUGUCUUGCUGUGUUGAUUGUUUCCGCUGUUAUUUGGUGUGUGUAUUCUACAACCAUGGCUGGUGAUGAUGAUGUUAAACCCAACUCCGGUUCGUCUAGUACCAAGGAUGAACAACCCUACCGUGAUUAUUCUGCUCCUAUUGCACAAGAGAAAUUAGAUGGCUCCAACUAUGUCUCCUGGUCUCGUAACGCCCUUCUUACGAUCACUGGACGACGUAUGGCGGGGUUUAUCAAUGGCAAAAAACCUGCUCCUAAGGAUGGUGAUUCUGUGGAAUACUCCGAAUGGGAAGAGGAUAAUUGUUUAGUACAAAUAUGGCUUCUCAACUCUAUGACUCGGAGUGUGAGAAGUCUCUUUGAGCGUUGUACUUCAGCAUAUGAUGUGUGGGAGGCUGCAAGGAAGACUUUUACAGUCACCCAAAACAGCUCCCGGUUGUUUCAACUUCGAAGACAGUCCGUGACUACAACCCAAGAUGGUGAAUCUGUUGCUAUGUUUUAUGAGAAGCUUCAUGUUAUCUGGGAGGAGAUUGACAAUCUUCGUCCUAAUCCACAUACCAACCCUAAGGAUGUGGCUCUCCGACAGAAGGAAAUCGAAUCUGAGAGGGUGUAUGAUUUUCUUGGAGGGCUUGAUCCACAGUUUGAUGGUGUUCGUAGCCGUAUCUUGGCUAUGACUCCGGUGCCUUCUGUCUUGGAGGCGUAUGCAUUAGUCGUGGAAGAAAGCACCCGUCAAGUCACUAUGCUUGGGGGUGCUGCUGCUUUGAAGAUUGGUACAAGCCAGCAUCGGACCAAUGGUGCUUCCUCAACUGGCGGUGGUGGUCGUCAGUCGUCCCUUGUGAAUACACGUUCCGGAGGCUCUUCGAACUCCAAGUCUGCCGUCUCCCGCCCUCCUGCAGCAAAGGCUCAACCUGGUUCUCGUGAAUGUGCCCAUUGUGGAGGUAAUCAUCUUGUAGAAAAAUGUUUCGAGCUUCAUGGUGUUCCAGAUUGGUUUCCUGAGUACAAAGCCCGUAAGUUUGGCUCCAAAGAUGCUCAUGUCGUGACUGCAGGCGAAAUUGAGUCGCCUCGUCCUUCCAUGAAUUUGAGUGUGACAAAUUCCGUACCAGGUAACGUUUCCAAUACAUGGAUAAUUGACACUGGUGCUACUGAUCAUGUGACUUAUAAUUCUAAGUUUUUUGAUGAGUUGUCUAGCCAAACUCGUGACCCUUUUAUCACGUCUGCCAAUGGUAUGCCGUCUCCAAUUACUGGAGAAGGCACAAUCACACUUACGCCUACCUUGUCCCUGACACAUGCGUUAUUGGUACCCAAUAUUAAUUGUAAUUUAUUAUCUGUGGGACGAUUACUGAACUCACUAAAUGCCUAUGCUACUUUCUAUCCUACAUGGUGUAUGUUUCAGGAUCUCAAAACUCACGAGACGAUUGGACGUGGUAAAAGGAUAGAGGGGUUAUACUACUUGACUCUACCAACAGAUGUGGUUCGUGGUAGUAUUGCUAAUAAAGUUCAGAGUGGCAGUGACAAGGACAAGCAUGAGUUGUGGUUAUGGCAUCGUCGCUUGGGACACCCUUCUUUUGGAUAUCUUAAACAUGUAUUUCCUUCCCUAUGUCGUUCAUAUGAUGAGACUUGUUUUAAGUGUGAAACAUGUGUAUUGGCCAAAAGCCAUCGUACUGUUUUUCCCUUAAGUAAUAAUAAAGCUCUUCAGCCAUUUGCGUUGGUACAUUCCGAUGUAUGGGGUCCUGCUAAGAUUACUUCCAAUGGAUUUCGUUGGUUUAUCACUUUUAUUGAUGAUUGCACACGCUUAACUUGGGUUUUCUUAAUGAAGCAUAAAAGUGAUGUGACAUCUAUUGUACAAGAAUUUACUGCCAUGGUAUCUACUCAGUUCCAGACUAAAGUCAAAGUGCUUCGGUCUGAUAAUGGAGGAGAAUAUGUGAACACUGCCUUGAGUUGUUUCUUUCGUGAACAAGGUAUUAUUCAUCAGACGACUACUCCGUUUACACCCCAACAAAAUGGUGUGUCUGAGCGGAAGAAUCGUCAUUUACUUGAAGUUGCUCGUGCUUUGCUCUUGGGAAUGUCGGUCCCUAAUUAUCUUUGGGGACAUGCAGUUUUAGCCGCAUGUUAUUUGAUCAAUCGGACUCCUAGCCGGGUUCAUGAUUUCCGCACACCGUUUGCAAUUUUACAAGAACAUAUCUCACCUAUUGCUGUCUCCAAGCUCCCUCCCAAGGUGUUUGGAUGUGUUGUGUAUGUGCAUAUUUAUUCUCAUCAACGGAGUAAGCUAGAUUCUUGUGCUCUUCGAUGUGUGUUCAUUGGGUAUUCAAAUACUCAAAAAGGUUACAAGUGUUAUCAUCCUCCUACUCAAAAGACUUAUGUCUCCAUGGAUGUCACUUUCCAUGAAGAGGUCCCGUAUUUUGCCUCAUCGUCUCUUAUCCCUCCACUUCCCGAGGAGAGAGUUUGCAAAGUGUUUAGUGAAGGAGCAACAGAGAGUGCAGGAAAUAGUGAUAUUGUGAGGUUGCUUGAUCCACCGUGUCACCCUUCAUCCACUGAGCAGUUGCCGUGUACUCACCCUGAGCAGUUGCCGUGUACUCACCCUUCACUCAAUGCAAAGUUGCCGUGUACUAGUGAAGGAGUAACAUACUUUGACAGUGACGUGGUGGAUGAAAAUAUUGAUGAAGAUGUACCGAAUAGUAGUAUUCCAAACCCCUCUGCCCUACCAUUGUCUCAAUCGACUUGUGAAGAUGAAAGUGAUGCCACAGAGGUAUUGUCUACUAAUGUGCCUAUAUCUACUUAUCAGUUGCCCCCACGAGUUAAUCGUGGUAAACCUAAAAUCCAAUAUUCUCCUGAUAUACACACAAAGUCCAAAUAUCCCAUUAGUAAUCAUUUGUCAACUCAUCGCCUUUCUAAGUCACAUGAGUCGUAUAUAUGUCAAUUAUCUACUGUAUGUGUACCAACUAAGUUGCAGGAUGCUUUAUCUGAUCCUAAAUGGGUGGAGGCUAUGGACAUUGAGAUGCAGGCUUUGAAUAAGAAUUCCACAUGGGAUUUGGUGCCUUUACCAAGUGGAAAGAAGAUGGUUGGUUGUCGAUGGGUGUUUACUUUGAAGCAUAAAGCAGAUGGUUCAAUUGAUCGCUACAAAGCCCGAUUAGUAGCGAAGGGUUAUACACAAACAUAUGGAGUGGACUACCAAGAGACUUUUGCUCCCGUUGCUAAGCUUAAUACGGUUCGUGUCCUUAUAUCUCUUGCUGCUAAUUUAGAUUGGCCCUUGUUGCAAUUUGAUGUUAAAAAUGCUUUCUUGCAUGUGGUGAUCUUAAAGAAGAAGUGUAUAUGGAUUUACCACCUGGUACGUCCAUUGCUUCCCAUAAGGGUGUUGUGUGCAAGUUACGCAAAGCUUUAUAUGGCUUAAAACAAUCUCCUAGAGCAUGGUUUGGGAGGUUUACUGCAUCCAUGAGAAAGUUUGGUUACAUACAAAGUCACUCGGAUCAUACCUUAUUCUUUAAACGGAGAAAGGGUAAAGUGACGACAUUGAUCAUAUAUGUUGAUGAUAUGAUAGUGACAGGUGAUGAUCAUGAAGAGAUUAGCUCUUUACAACAAUAUCUUGCUUCUGAAUUUGAAAUGAAAGAGUUGGGUGAAUUGAAGUAUUUUCUUGGGAUUGAAGUUGCUCGAUCCAAGCAUGGUAUAUAUCUUUCCCAAAGGAAGUAUGUUUUGGACUUGUUGGCUGAAACUGGUAUGGUAGACUGUAAGCCUAUUAGCACUCCUAUGGAACAAAAUCAUCAAUUGGGGUCAUAUCCUGAUCAGGUUCCUACUAAUAAGGAGCGUUAUCAGCGACUGGUGGGAAGAUUAAUUUAUUUGUCUCAUACGCGUCCAGAUAUAGCCUAUCCUGUAAGCGUUGUGAGUCAGUUUAUGCAUCUGCCUAGUGAGGCUCAUAUGGAUGCUGUUGUACGUAUUCUCAGGUAUCUUAAAUCCGCUCCUGGUAGGGGUUUACCAUUUUCCAAGAAUGGUAAUUUGAAUAUUGAAGGCUACACAGAUGCGGAUUGGGCUGGUUCAGUUACAGACCGACGCUCUACGUCUGGCUACUUUACUUUUGUUGGUGGCAAUCUCGUCACCUGGAAAAGUAAGAAACAGAAGGUUGUUGCUCGGUCGAGUGCGGAGGCUGAAUUUCGUGGAAUGGCGCAUGGGGUAUGUGAGUUACUUUGGUUGCAAAAGUUAUUGAAUGGCCUUGGUUUCAAGUCCGAGAAAGCCUUGGUGUUACACUGUGACAAUAAAUCUGCGAUUGAAAUUGCUCACAAUCCUGUACAACAUGACCGUACAAAACAUGUGGAGAUUGAUCGGCAUUUUAUUAAGGAAAAGUUGGAUGCUGGAGUUAUUGCUUUUCCUUUCGUACCAUCUGAGCAACAGUUAGCUGACGUCCUUACUAAGGCUGUCUCUGUUAGUGUUUUCUCCAAUUCGCUUGACAAGUUGGGCAUGCGAGAUAUCUUCGCGCCCACUUGAGGGGGAGUGUAGCGAUUUGUAUAGAUUAAUUAGCCGUAUUUAGGGUUCUAUUUGUUUCCCUGUAUAGUUUACUUACCUGUAUAGUUUACUUACUUGUAUAGUACUCUUUGUAAACCCUAUUUAUACUCUACUCUCAGAGAGAAUAAUAUACAUGAUUUUACCCAUAUACUGUUUGACUUUUACAAUAUCUAUAUAUAGCUGACUAGAGAACUAAUUAACUCUUCCAACUAACUAUUACAUCCUCCAAUCCUUUACAACUAUUUUGAUGAGCUGGCAUAGAUGAGUUUGCAGUGAUAUAUUCAACAUCCCCUCUCAAUCUCAACUAGGUUUCCCAGUUUGAGAUUGAAUGAAUGAAGCUUUUGUAUUAAACUUAAAGAACUGAUUUUACUAUCUGUUUACAAUAUCUAUAUAUAGCUGACUAGAGAACUAAUUAACUCUUCCAAUUAACUAUUACAUCAUCCAAUCCUUUACAACUAUUUUGAUGAGCUGGCAUAGAUGAGUUUGCAGUGAUAUAUUCAACACAUAGGACAUGGUUUUUAAACUUGAUGAUUUCAAAACUGAAAAACGAUUUUGUUUAAUGUAAAUUUUUAAUUGAAUAGCUUGAGAGGUAAUUUCAUUAUGAUUCUAACAAUAAGAUUUAGGGCUGGUUUGGUAUUGCUGUACUUUGAAGAAAAAAAACUAUUUUUGCUAUGCUGUGAGAAUAAACUCAUUUUUACUGUUUCACGUUUUCAGUUUUUUUUUCACCCAAAACUGUGAAGCUAAGUUGUUUUUAAAUGUUUACCAAACACCUUUUUAAGCUCAGCUUUUUUAUAUACCCAUUUUUUAUAAAAGCACCUCAGUACCAAACCAGUACUUAUUUUCAUUGAAUAUUAAAUCGAAAAUGAUUUCCGCUCACAAUUGUUCUACUUUAAUCGGUGUGCGGAAAUCACUUCCAUGCUAAUUAUGGACCUUAAUUUCCUGAAGAACCGAAAACAAUUCCUGCAUUAUAGAGAGCUUAAGAGACAUGGAGAUUCUAAUGAAAGUCAUAAAAUAUACACAUUUCGACAACAGAGCAUCACCAUCUUUUUAUACAUGAAAUUCAAAUGCCGAAAUCACGAUCAGUUCCACACGAAAUCACGAUCAACAGUCAAGUAAAAGUACCCGAAUUAUGAUUAGGUCAAUCAUCAAACCGAAAUACGCAUGUUCUCCGGUGAUUUACAAGUUAUCAACUAAACCACUGCAUCAGCGUGACAAGUUCGGUUCACAUCUGCUUCGCCACCUCUGUAUUGGAUAAUUCGUGCUCGUCUCCCCAGCCAACUUCCGUGAACUUGCAUUCAAAGAUGUUCCACUCGGACCUGCAGAGCAAUCAUGAGAAAGAAAAUUUAUUGAUGCCAACGACGGUAUCCCUUGAGAUACUCAUGGUUUACCAUAUUUUCCCUCUUCACUAACGCCGUUAUCCUCAACCGAAACAGAAAUGUUUGUACCCUUAUUCUCAAAGCUGCACGUUUAACAAAACAAUGUUGCCUUCGGGUAAAGCAUGUUCAUAAAGAGGCAAUGGUAUGCAUGAAAUCUUGACCGUAAAACUCGUCAUGGAAAUGAUCAAUUGAAGAGCUAUACUACCUUCGACAGCUUAUAGCUUCUAUCUGUCAGAGGGGCUGGUUGCCAAUAAUUUCAACCUUUUGAGUUCGUCAAUUCCUCUAAACAUCGAUUGUGGCUGGCAUCCAGUUCAACUCAUAUUUAUGACUUCCAGUCCCCUACCUCCUAGACCUCGUAACAAAGCUAUUAACCGUGUCCUGCAGCGCCUAUACUCUCCUUCUGGUAAGCUACAAGUUUACCUGCUGAACCUGAUAUUACCCUUCGUUUUCUUCUCAACUCAAUCUUUUGUAAUGACAUUUACAAUUCUCCUACUAAACUGCUAACUUUUGAUCAACGUUAUCUAUCUAAUAUUUCGCUCAGACUAUCGAUCCCUACAGUUCCCAAUCUUAACCCAUCAACACGAAAACUACCUUUCCCACAACAUUGUUACUUAGAAAUGCUCUAAUUCAUGCUACAUUAUGAUUCAUGCUAACUAUUAAAACCUACUUUAACUUCCUAAGUUUGUAAAUUCCUCUAAAUAUCGAUCACGGCUGGCAUCCAGUUCAACUCAGAUUUAUGACUUCAAGUCCCCUACCUCCUAGACCUCAUAAAAAUUUCUUCAUUCACAGGUUACAACUAUCCUAAUCUGUCGAAAAUAUUUUGACAAAAACAUAUAUCACCAACUUAAACACAUACUCCUCCAUCCUCUCCAAAGUCCCUUCCAUCCAGCAUUUUGCUUUAACAAUUCCAAUGUUUACUUAACCCUUUACCUUAUCCAAUAUAUCCAAAGGGCAACCCCAAGCGAACAAGGCUCCCCUGCUUUGCGAGGGUUGGAGGUACGCAUCCUUACCCUUACUUUGCAAAGAUGUUGUUUCAACGAUUCGAACCCGUGACCUUUCAGUCACAAAGGAGCAACCAUUUUGUUGAAAGGAAACUUUAAUCAACAACAACAACAACAACAAAGCCUUUUCCCACUAAGUGGGGUCGGCUAUAUGAAUCCUAGAACGCCAUUGCGCUCGGUUUUGUGUCAUGCCCUCCGUUAGAUCCAAGUACUCUAAGUCUUUUCUUAGAGUCUCUUCCAAAGUUUUCCUAGGUCUUCCUCUACCCCUUCGGCCCUGAACCUCUGUCCCGUAGUCACAUCUUCGAACCGGAGCGUCAGUCGGCCUUCUUUGCACAUGUCCAAAUCACCAGAGCCGAUUUUCUCUCAUCUUUCCUACAAUUUCGGCUACUCCUACUUUACCUCGGAUAUCCUCAUUCCCAAUCUUAUCCUUUCUCGUGUGCCCACACAUCCCACGAAGCAUCCUCAUCUCCGCUACACCCAUUUUGUGUACGUGUUGAUGCUUCCCACCCAACAUUCUCUGCCAUACAACAUCGCUGGCCUUAUUGCCGUCCUAUAAAAAUUUUUCCUUGAGCUUCAGUGGCCUACGACGGUCACACAACACGCCGGAUGCACUCUUUCCAUCCAGCUCGUAUUCUAUGGUUGAGAUCUCCAUCUAAUUCUCCGUUCUCUUGCAAGAUAGAUCCUAGGUAACGAAAACGGUCGCUUUUUGUGAUCUUCGCUAGAUUGCUCCGGUCAUUAGUGUGGAUAAGUAUAUAAAUGGAUAGAGAUAGGAAAGCAAACACAAGAUGUACGUGGUUCACCCAGAUUGGCUACGUCCACGGAAUAGAAGAGUUCUCAUUAAUUGUGAAGGGUUUACACAAGUACAUAGGUUCAAGCUCUCCUUUAGUGAGUACGAGUGAAUGAUUUAGUACAAAUGACAUUAGGAAAUAUUGUGGGAGAAUGAUCUCGUAAUCACGAAACUUCUAAGUAUCGGAGUGUGUGUGUCGUCUUGACUUGCCUUAUCUGUCUCAUAGGUAGAUGUGGCAUCUUCUCUGGAAGUACUCUUCCUCCAUCCAGGGGUGGUAUCUUUAACUGGUGGAGAUGCACAAGGUAAUGUAUCAAUUUCACUUGAAGCUUACUUGUAGUUUCAGGCUUGGUCAAGCGCGAUACAAACCAUGUAGUAGGAGUCCCCCAAGUCGCCGAGCUAGGGGGUCUGCUGAAAGAGGUGACAGACAAGGUAAGCAAUCAGAGCUCCGACUGAUUGUUCACCUUCUCCCCAUCUUGCAGCAGCAUGAAGGAUAAAGAGAAGAAAAAUGAGAAGAGAUGAUAUGAGAUACUUUUGCUUUUGAAGAAGUAACUUUCCACAGGCUUAUUCUUGAACUGAGCUGGAGGGUUUUCUGGUUUCCUCCAGAGUAUAAGGCCGACUGAAGAAUUUGAGUCCUAAAAAACAAGUCCAUCAAAUCUAGAGUACGUUCCACCCUGCUGAUAUGGGAUACUUUUGCUUUUGACAGAGUAAUGGAUGUAUCGGCACGUGUGCUGUUACGCUUGUCUCCACAUGCUUCCUUGUAUCCUUCGCACUUGCCCUAUCUGUUCCUCAAGCAGAUGCGGAAUCUUCCCUGGAAACAUAAGAUGAUGAAGAUGAGUACUCGAGAGCAAUGCCAGGUAAGUAAUCAGGUAAGGGGUUCCAGGCAGUCAGUUCCUGGCUGGAAGCUUGAUUCCAAGUGCUGACUGAUUGCUCUCUUUCUCCUUGUCUUGCAGGUAAAAACAAGGCCAAAAGAAAAAAACAGGGAAAAAGCAUGAUAUGGGAUACUCUUGCUUUUAACCCUGAUGAUAUGAGAUAUUCUUGCUCUAGUAUAGCUUGUUUGCAGAGGUAUUAUCGGGGGGAAAGAAAGCUGAAUAUUUCGAAAGGCUUUGUUGGGAGUGCCCUCUCAGAUAUGAUGAAGGGUUGAGCAUUUUUGCAGGUCUGCCUGUCCGUUGGGGAUGGAGGUCGUCGACAUAUAUAGGAGUCUCCCUAACAACAAGUAGUAAUGCUAUUCCUUUACCCUGCUUGGUCAUAGCACGGUAGUGGGAGCUGCCAGUUUUUCACAUGUUUUAACUCUGUCAGAGCACUUUGAAAAAGUGGUCUGUGGUAUCUGGCUCUCGAGAUUCGGAGAACGAUGCCUCUUCGAUUUUUUGAGAAAGCAAUCAUGCUGGGGGUCUGACUCUCGAGAUUCGGAGAGCAGUGUCUCUUCGAUUUUUGAGGAAGUAAUCAUGUUGGGAGUCUGGCUCUCGAGAUUCGGAAGGCGGUGCCUCUUCGAUUUUGGAGCAAGCAAUCUUGUUGGGAGUGUUGUCUCGAAUGUGAGUAAAGGUUGGACAUGUUUGCUAGUCUACCUUGCCACGAAGCACAAAGGUUGACACACAGGGACUUUCCAAUUAUCCAGCAAUGGUACUGUUCCUUUACCCUCUCUUCGAUUUUGAGAAAGUAGUCAUGUUGGGAGUCUGGCUCUCGAGAUUCGGAGGACGGUGCCUCUUCGAUUUUGGAGCAAGCAAUCUUGUUGGGACUGUUUUCUCGAAUGUGAGUAAAGGUUGGGCAUGUUUGCUAGUCUACCUUGCCACGAAGCACAGAGGUUGACACACAGGGACUUUCCAAUUAUCCAGCAGUGGUACUGUUCCUUUACCCUUGUGGGUAAUAAUAUGGUAGCUAGACCUUCAAAAUUUAUGUGUCUAAACUUUGUUAGUGCUGUUUCUUUGCUAUUCUUUUACCUUUCUUGGUCAGAGCGAUGUAGUGGGAGCUGCAAGCUUCACGUGCUCAACUUUGGCAGAGAACUUUGACAAAGUGAUCUGUGGUACCCAUGAGUUAUUGUUGCGUGUGGGAAGUGGGUGAUUGAACAGUAAGAUUCAUGUGCUUUCUACUUCACCAGAAGUCUUCGACAGAAUGCCCAUAAUUUCUGCAAAGCUGAGUGUGCGUGUGACAGGUGCUGACAAGGCUAGAAAAGUAGAUGCCUCUUCGAUUUCUGAGAUCGGCCCUCGUGGUCUCUGAGCAGCCCAGCUUUUGAGAAAGCGAGCGCCUCUUCGAUUGAUUCGGAGAAACGGUGCCUCACCGAUUUUUGAGAAAGCAAUCAUGCUGGGGGUCUGGCUCUCGAGAUUCGGGGAGCAGUGUCUCUUCGAUUUUUGAGAAAGUAAUCAUGUUGGGAGAGUGGCUCUCGAGAUUCGGAGAGCGGUGCCUCUUCGAUUUUGGAGCAAGCAAUCUUGUUGGGAGUGUUUUCUCGAAUGUGAGUAAAGGUUGGGCAUGUUUGCUAGUCUACCUUGCCACGAAGCACAGAGGUUGACACACAGGGACUUUCCAAUUAUCCAGCAAUGGUACUGUUCCUUUACCCUCUCUUCGAUUUUUAAGAAAGUAGUCAUGUUGGGAGUCUGGCUCUUUAGAUUCGGAGGACGGUGCCUCUUCGAUUUUGGAGCAAGCAAUCUUAUUGGGAGUGUUUUCUCGAAUGUGAGUAAAGGUUGGGCAUGUUUGCUAGUCUACCUUGCCACGAAGCACAGAGGUUGACAUACAUGGACUUUCCAAUUAUCCAGCAGUGGUACUGUUCCUUUACCCUUGUGGGUAAUAAUAUGGUAGCUAGACCUUCAAAAUUUAUGGGUCUAAACUUUGUUAGUGCUGUUUCUUUGCUAUUCUUUUACCCUUCUUGGUCAGAGCGAUGUAGUGGGAGCUGCAAGCUUCACGUGCUCAACUUUGGCAGAGAACUUUGGCAAAGUUAUCUGUGGUACCCAUGAGCUAUUGUUGCGUGUGGGAAGUGGGUGAUUGAACAGUAAGAUUCCUGUGUUUUCUACUUCCCCAGAAGUCUUUGACAGAAUGCCCAUAAUUUCCGCAAAGCUGAGUGUGCGUGUGUGUGACAGGUGCUGACAAGGCUGGGAAAGUAGGUGCCUCUUCGAUUUCUGAGAUCGGCCCUCGUGGUCUCUAGGAAGCCCAGCUUUUGAGAAAGCGAGCGCCUCUUCGAUUUCUGAGAUCGGCCUUCGUGGUCUUUGAGCAGCCCAACUUUUGAGAAAGCAAACGGCUCUUCGAUUUCUGAGAUCAACCCUCGUGAUCUCUAAGCAGCCCAACUUUUGAGAAAGCAAACGCCUCUCUUCGAUUUCUGAGCAGGCGCCUCUUUGAUUUCUGAAGCUCCGUCGAGUGCAGAUUUUUAUAGAGGCUGGCAUUAAGUUCCAAAGCACACUUGAAUCUCCACCAGUAGAAGCUUCAUUCUUGCACUUCUAAAAUCUUGAUUUGUCCGACCUCUUCUCUCUUCAACACCUUUGAAAAUGUCUGGCCCCUCCGACUGUCGUUUUGACUUGAACCUUGUUGAAGAGGCAGCCCCGCUUCUCCAGACAACAUAUGGCGCCCAUCCUUCGUCUCCCCAACUGGUCCUCUUACCGUUGGGGAUUCCGUGAUGAAGAAUGAUAUGACUGCUGCGGUGGUGGCCAGGAACCUUCUCACUCCCAAAGAUAACAGACUACUUUCCAAACGGUCUGAUGAGUUAGCUGUUAAGGAUUCGCUGGCUCUUAGUGUUCAGUGUGCAGGUUCUGUGUCUAAUAUGGCCCAACGCCUAUUUGCUUGAACCCGCCAAGUUGAAUCAUUGGCGGCUGAAGUGAUGAGUCUCAAACAGGAGAUUAGAGGGCUCAAGCAUGAGAAUAAACAGUUGCACCGGCUCGCACAUGACUAUGCUACAAACAUGAAGAGGAAGCUUGACCAGAUGAAGGAAACUGAUGGUCAGGUUUUACUUGAUCAUCAGAGAUUUGUGGGUUUGUUCCAAAGGCAUUUAUUGCCUUCGUCUUCUGGGGCUGUACCGCGUAAUGAAGCUCCAAAUGAUCAACCUCUGAUGCCUCCUCCUUCUAGGGUUCUGUCCAGUACUGAGGCUCCAAAUGAUCCCCCUCCGGUGCCUUCUCUUUCUGGGGCUCUACCGACUGCUGAGACUUCUCCUAAGCAACCUUUGUGAAGGCUCCCUCUUGUGUGUUUAUUUUGACUCAUGUAUAUGUACAUAUUUGUAGCUUAUCGGGGAUAUCAAUAAAUAAGCUUUCCUUCAUUUCAACGUAUUGUGUUAAAUACACCAAAGCCUUCUUCGCUAAGUUCUUUGAAUUUUCUUUUGUUGAAGCUUGUAUGUUGAAGCUUUCUGAGUGGAGCAUGUAGGUUGGGGUAGUGUUCCCUUAAAAUAAAAACAUUAACUGUGCCUCCAGCGCCUAUACUUCCCUUCUAGUAAGCUACAAGUUUACCAGCUGAAGCUGAUAUUACCCUUCGUGUUCUUCUCAAAUCAAAUCUUUUGUAAUGAUAUUUACAAUUCUCCUACUAAACUGCAAACUUUUGAUCAAUGCUAUGCGUCAAAUCUUUCGCUCAGACUAUCAAUCCCUACUGUUCCCAAUCUUAACCAAUUGACACAAAACUACCUUUUCCCACAGCAUUGUAACUUAGAAAUGCUCUAAUUCAUGCUACAUUACGAUUCUCGGCAUACCAAAACCUUUUUUUUCUUUCUAAUCAUUGCAUUCCCUUCAUCUAAAAUCAGUUAAAUAAGCUAUGAUAAAAUAGCAAACAUCACAAACAAAGGCAUUGUUUAAACAAAUAGUGAAUUCUGACUCACCAGAAACAGCUUCACUGCCCUCCAAGCUCUGAACUCCUCCGCCAUUGCUGUCACCAACCUCGCCUUUCUUAACCCAAAGUCUAAACCCAGAACCUCUCUGUCUCUGUAAAUGGAAGCGGCCUACCCUCUUAUCAUAAUCCCUUAUUUCACCGUUACCACGGCGAUCAGCUCCACUCCACCUCCUCAGCUUAUCAUCCCCAUUACCAGCCUCACCAUCCACCGAUAAACCCUCAAAUUUCGGUACAAUUUCCUCCGCCAGAACCACAUUCUCGCUCUUUGCCCUAAUUUCAGUUUCAAUUUCAAUUCCAACUCCGUUUUCUUCCUUUCCAGUCGCCUGAUCGUUUUCCUUCUCGCCACGCACCGGAGGCUCGUCCACUCCACCUUCCUUCUCAGUCACCUCCUCCUUCUCUUCCCUAGCUUUGUUCUUCCAAUUUCUGUUACCCUUCCUCUUCUUCCAUUUCUUCUCCUCCUCUGGUUCCUCGUUUUUCUUCCCCUCCAGCUCAGCAACCUCGAGCUCUGAAACGCCCUGAUUAACUGGGCGAAACUGCCCCUGAUCACUCCGAUUCCUCGUCUUGUUAGCAAUUUCGGUUCUUCCAACUAUGGUGUUUUGCUUCAGUUCUUCUUCGUCGCUUCUUUUAGCAUCCAGCGAGGGUGCCCGAUCACUCCGAUUUCUGGGAUUGUUACCGGUUCCGGUUCUUUGAACGACGGCGUUUUGCUUCGCCUCUUCCUCCUCGCUUCUCUUCCCCUCCAGCAAGGGUGCCCGACCAACCGGAUUCACCGUCCGAAACUGCGCCCGAUCACUCCGAUUUCUAGGAUUGUUACCCGUUCCGGUUCUCCGAACGACGCCGUUUUCCUCCGGCUCUCCUUCCUCGCUUCUUUUUCCCUCCAGCUCAACAUCCUCACAUUCCGAAACAUUCCUAUUAAUCGGCCGAAACUCUUCCCGAUUACCGCGAUUCCUCGGUCUGUCAGUGGUUUCAGCUCUCUUAACCACAGCGCUUUGCUUCGGCUUUUCUUCCUCGCUUCUUUUCCCCUCCAGCACAGUCCCAUCGCGCUCCGGAACACUCGGAUUAACUGGCCGAAACUGUGCCCGAUCACUCCGAUUUCUCGGAUGGUUACUGGUUCCGGCUCUUUGAAAGACGGCGUUCUGCUUCGCCUCUUCUUCCUCGCUUCUUUUCCCCUCCAGCAAGGGUGCCAGACCAACCCGAUUCACCGUCCGAAACUGUGCCCGAUCUCUCGGAUUGUUACCGGUUCCGGUUCGGAAGACACCGUUUUCCUCCGGCUCUCCUUCCUCUCUUUUUUUCCCUUCCAGCUCAGCAUCCUCGCAUUCCAGAACAUUCCGAUUAACCGGCCGAAAGUCUUCCCGAUUACCACGAUUCCUCGGCUUGUCAUCGGUUUCGGCUCUCUUAACGACCGCGUAAUGCUUCAGCUUUUCUUCCUCGUUUCUUUUCCCCUCCCGCUCAGAAACACUCCGAUUAACUGGCCAAAUCUGUGCCCGAUCACUCCGAUUUCUUGGAAUGUUACCGGUUCCGGUUCUUCCAACGACGGCGUUCUGCUUCGCCUCUGCUUCUUCACUUCUUUCCCUCUCCAACAAGGGUGCCAGACCAACCCGAUUGACCGUCCGAAACUGUGCCCGGUCACUCCGAUUUCUCGAAUUGUUACCCGUUCCGGUUCUCUGAAUGACGACGUUUUCCUUCGGUUCUCCCACCUCGCCCCUUUUUCCCUCCAGCUCAAUAACCUCGCAUUCCGAAACACUCCGAUAAACCGGCCGAAACUCUGCCCGAUUCUCGCGAUUCCUCGGCUUGUCAUCGGUUUCGGCUCUCUUAACGACAGCGUUUUGCUUCGGCUUUCCUUCCUCCCUUCUUUUCCCCUCCACCUCAGCCCCACCGAACUCCGAAACACUCCGAUUAACUGGCCGAAGCUGUCCCCGAUUACCACCAUACCUAGGCUUGGAACCGAUUUCCAGGUUCCGAACGAUGGCGUUUUGCCUCUUCUGCUUCGCCUCUUCUUCUCGCCGUUCCCUCUCCUCUCGUCGUCGUUUCUCGUCCUCUUCCUGUCGUUUCUUCUCCUCUUGCCGUCGUUCUUUCUCCUUCUGCUGUCGUUCCUGGUCUCUGAGCCAGCGCUCUUUGAGGUCGUUGAGGGUGACGUAGUUGGCGGGCACAGAUUGGUGCCUCUUGAAUUUGGUGUCCGCCAUUUUCGCUCCACAGUCCACUAAAGAAUGACUGAGCCAAACCCAACGACAAAGGCAAAGCCUUUUCCAUUAUUUAUUUUCGAUUUUCUUUUUCUUUAUUAAAGGAAAAACAAUGAGCAAUUUCUAAUAUUCUUUAUUUAAAAAGUUUUGAGUCAAUCCCUCCCUUACGUUUCCGUCAAAUUGUAGGUCAUUUUCGUCCAUUUCCGUCGGGAAACUUUCAUUAACGUGUGAUAGAUUCAGUCAUUACCGUCAAUGUGACUAGGCCUGGUAUUUUGGACCCAACCCAUUAACCCGACCCGACCCAACCCGUUAAUAUUUGUAUUUGGAUGGAUGCUUAACGGGUCGGGUCGCUAACGGGUGAACCCGUUAACAACCCGUUAAAUAACGGGUCACUUUGGGUCAACCCGUUAGACCCGUUAGGACUCGUUAACACCCGUUAGCACCCGUUAGUUGAGGAUAUUUUAGUAAUUUUAGUAAAGUCUUGAUAACAAAAAAUAAACUUUAUGCAAAAAAAAAAUAAUAAUAAUUGUUAACCGGUGAUAACGGGUGAAACGGGUGACCCGUUAGCUUAACGGGUCGGGUUCGGGUGACCCGUUAGCUUAACGGGUUGGGUUCGGGUGACCCGUUAACUUAACGGGUCGGGUUCAACCCGACCCAAACCCAAUAAACCCGACCCGUUUACAGGUCUAAAUGUGACUAUUACGGACAAUAAUUAGGUAAAAUGUCUAUCCACACCAGUUGUGAAUGAUAAAUUUUAACACAUAUCUAUCAUAAUAAAAACCCGUUUUUAUUUUUCAAUUUAUCAUUCAAACUUCAUUGCGACAAUCUAAUUAUUAUCAAAAUAUUCAAUUUGUUCAAUGUAUAUAAAUUACUAAACCAUUUUUAUUUUUUUAAUCUUUAAAAUACGACAUUGCAAACUACUUAAAUUAUUUAAUGUAAACAAUAAAGAUGCAUUAGUCACAACCGAAAUACAUAAAAAGUGGCACUCCUAAAUAGGGGUGGGCAAACUGAUAUAGGAACUAUGGGUUGGGGCGGGUACGGGCAGGUUCCAAUUUUUUAAUAAGAGAAAUGGGGAAGGGGGGGCGGGGCGGGGCAAGGCGAUGAAAUUUUAAGGGUGGCCCGGUUCCAGAUGUAUAGAAAAACAAGGCCCCCGACUGGCCUGUUUGUAAUUGCAAUGGACAGACAAGAUUGAAGAGUAACCUACCAUCCAAUCUUAACCAUUAGUUUUACCCUAGGUCUCCUCGAGCUCGACUAUGUCACUUGAGUCCUCGAACUCGAUUCUCUCUCGCCGUCUCGCGUGCGUCGUCCUUUCCCCUCCACAAUUCCACCCACACUUUGUCACUCUCCGUCUGUCAUCUCCUCCACCACCCUGACAUCAUUGCCGUCGCAAAUCUGGGCCUUAGCGACCACCACGACGACCCAUCAACCUCGAUUGUCCUCCUCGAGUCCUUGAUGACAUCCCAGACUUAGAGGUUCUCAUUGACCCAGUCCCCACUUUCACGAUCUCUCUCAUGAACCCAUACUGAAUCUCCUCAACCCUCCAUCUCGAAUCUCGACAGUCGACAGUCAAGUGCUUCUGCCGGUCCAAGUGUCGAGUUUCCAACUUCCUCUUUCAAUUUCUGGCCGAGACUGGUGCGACGUUCGUAACCGGGAGAUGGGGUAUCACUUCAUUUCAUCUCUACGAUGCUGCUUGAUGGGAGUUGUGGCGUCGAUUUGGGAAAUCAAUUUUGGUUGAUCGGGAAGAACGGUUGCGGCAAUGAGAGCAAUCUGGAAUGUUCUGAAGCUCUGUAUCAAAACCCAAAAAAAAAUAAAAAAGUAAUUGGAUCCACGGACUCACCCCGAACCUACCCGUUUGAAACGGGUCGGGUUAAGUCCAGUUCCCAAACUCAAAAUCCCUCUACCUGCCCCGGCCGGCCCUGUUACAUUUUAAAACGAAUAGGGUCUGAUUCCUUCAAAUUUAGGCCCGACCCGGCCCGUGCCCAGCCCUACUCCUAACUCCAAAGUAAUGCUUUACUUAUAUUUUGGUUUUUCAUUCUUUUUUAAAAACAAAAAAAAAACAAAGUUUUUUUUCAAACUUAAUAAAGAAGACUUAUUAGAUGAGGUGGUGUGGUGCUCAUUAGGUAUUGGAUUCCUCGUCAACAACUUAUUAGUGGUUUAAGGACGAAUUAACUAGAGUAAUUAUGUUUAUUGGAUAAAUAUUACUAGACUAAUCAUCAACAUUUGACGAGUUACUCACAUUUUCUACCAUUCAAUAUCUAAUCACCCAUCAACUCAUGAGGCAACUCAUGAGGUACUUAUGAUUUGGUUUCGCAGCUUUUUAAUCAUAAAAUUGUUUUCGCUUUCUAAAGAAGCACAUACAAAAUCUUAACCCAAAAAAAAAAAGCACAUACAAAAUGUUUCUUCAAGAAACAUUUCCACGUAAUUUUCAAAAAUUUGCAUCUCUAAUACAAUUUUCGACGAUUUUUAAUAUAUAACUUUUUGAAUAAGCACUUAUUACAAAACCAAUACUAAACCAACUAUAAAUGGAUUCUUCUCUCCUUGUGAGAGGCUCUCUCUUCUUGAGAGUUCUUCUCACCACCUGUGGAAGUGGUUUCCUUUUCGUCCAAUUUUGAAGUCGUCGGCCCUCGCUAUGGCAUAUCUUUCCCUUCUCUCUGUUUCCUUAUUUCGUUCCUUCAACUACUUUUUUCUCCAGCUCUCCUUCCUAAUUUGCCAUGUCCUUCAUACCUCAUGGGCGUCCAUCUUCCCCAAGCACCUCCAAUUCGAUCUGCAGUCAGUCUUCAAUGCAACAAAUCAUCGAGAUGGUGUGUAGAGUUUUGAUGUUCAAACUGGCUCGGGUGUUAAAAUACCACCACCUUCUCUCUAUCUGCCUUUGUUGGUAGUAUUGCUCAUGGUAAUUCUGCAGGCUUCUUUUAAUUGGUGGCUGGCUUCUUUCCAUUUUUUGCUAAGAUGGCACGACGAUUGUAGUUGGAUGAUGAGGUCUUUUUUAAAAACAAAAAUAAAAAUAAAAACAAAACAAAAACAAAAAAAAAAAAAAAAAACUUUUUUUUGAACUUAGUGGAGAAGAAUUAUUAGAUAAGGUGGUGUGGUGCUCAUUAUGCAUUGGUUUCCUCGUCAGCAGCCUAUUAGUGGUUUAAGGAUGGAUUAACUGGAGUAAUCAUGUUUAUUGGAUAAAUAUUACUUGACCAAUCAUCAACAUUUGACGAUUUACUUACAUUUUCUACCAUUCAAUUAUCUAAUCAUCCAUCAACUCAUGAGGUACUUAUGAUUUGGUUUCGCAGCUUUUUAAUUAUAAAAUUGUUUUCGCUUUCUAAAGAAGCACACACAAAAUGUUUUUUCAACAAGCAGUUCCACACAAUUUUCAAAAAACACUUGCAUCUUUAAAAUCUAAUACAAAAUUUAACGAUUUUUAAUAUAAAAAAAAACUUUUUGAAUAAGCAUUUAUGAAACCAAUACUGAACCAACUUUAAAUGGAUUCUUCUCUUCUUGUUAGAGGCCCUCUUUUCCUGAGAGUUACUCUCACCACCGUGGAUCCAGGAUUUUAACAUGGAGUGGUUCUAACUUUAACACUGUUCUAAAAAUCCUCGCCUAGAGCCGCCUAGGCCCCACCCCACCGCCCCGAUUAAUGCCUAGGCUCCAGUCCACCGCCUAGACCACCUAGGCACCUACCUAGCCCGCCUAGGCACCCGCCUAGACCCGCCUAGGUUGCAACUCACUUAAACAGAAAAUACAUAACUUUCAUUUUGCAUUUUUUUUUCAAUAAAUUGUAAGAGACUUGUUGCAUACUUGAAUGAACAAACAUUAUAUCAUUAUUUCACAUGUUUUCAUUAUGUUCCAAUACUUCAUGAUAUAUAUGCAUUCUAUUUUGUAGUUUAUGAUGAAAUUAUAUAUAUUUCAAGUAGAAGCAGACACUUAUUUACCUGAAAUAUGAUAGAUUUACUUAAAUCCGCCUAUCUGCCUAGGCAUCCGCCUAGGCCCCGCCUAGCCGCUAAGCGCUAGGCCCCAGCCCACCGCCCGACUAGCGGCUAGCAACUUUUAGAACCUUGAACUUUAAAGCUCAAAAAAAAAAAAGAUUUAGACCAAACUAACAUGAAAAAAAAACGACAAAGUCACUAUCUGUCUAUCAAAAUAAAAUAUAUAUUUCUGUUGUCUUGAAGUAUAACUACAUAAUGUGUAACUCUUGUCGUGAAUGCGAGACUAUCAAAACUCUUGCCGUUAAUACAAAGACAAACACUGUAUUGAUCACUUGAGUGACAAAUCCUCACAACAUGCACUAAUAGAUAAACUAGGCACCCCAAAAAAAACUUGCAUAACUAAACUCUAAUUAGGGUUUUGGGAUCGAAGAGAAGAAUGGAAGAUGUAUGCAAACUAGAGGCUAAACCCAAAUGCCAACAAAGAUUAUACGUCCAGUGGGCAGCAGUCAACAAUAAGCAUAGAGAAGGAAGGUAAGUUUAAAGUUUUUUACUGGUUGGUAGAGUUGAGGAAUCCCAGUGUGUAAAACUCACGUGGAGUCUAAACCAAAGAGAUGUGAUCGGAUGUCCAAUCACAAUAAAAAAUGCACGCUUUUCAUUUUUUUUUAGGAAACUCUAACGAAAAUCAUAUGAUAUUGUUCACUUUAACGAAAAAUCAUAUUUUUACACUAAAAAAUCAAUCAUGGUACUAUUUAAUUUACCCUUUAUUUUGUCCUUAUCAUUAAAUCACAUUACCCAGUGUGUAAAACUCACGUGGAGUCUAAACCAAAGAGAUGUGAUCGGAUGUCCAAUCACAAUAAAAAAUGCACGCUUUCUAUUUUUUUUAGGAAACUCUAACGAAAAGCAUAUGGUACUAUUCAUUUUAACGAAAAAUCACAUUUUUACACUAAAAAGUCAAUUAUGGUACUAUUCACUUUACCCUUUAUUUUGUCUUUAUCAUUAGUUUCUUUUUUUUUUUUAAUGGUUUGGCUCAAAACGGUCUCGUUUUGGCCAAGUAAUUAGAAAGAAAAAGAGUCAUCUUCUUUCUUCUUCUGUUUUGCAGAAGAUGCUUGGCAGCCAUGGUUGCUCUUCUCCUCCACCAUAGCCCGGAUUUGGGUGGUCCUGGAGAUUUUCAUAGCCACUUUUUUGAGCCUUUGGGUGGUCCUGGAACCACUUUGAUCCCUUAAUAGAUCCGCCUCUGCUCACCACCUAUGUAAGUGGUUUCCUUUUCGUCCAAUUUCGAAGCCGCUGGCCCUUGCUGUGGCUGGGGUCGACGACAUAUCUUUCCCUUUUUCUCUUUGUUUCCUUCUUUCGUUCCUUUAGCUACUUUUUUCCCCAUCUCUCCUUCCUGAUUCGCCAUGUCCAUCAUACCCCAUGGGCGUCCAUCUUCCUCAAGCACCUCCAAUUUGAUCUGCAGUCAGUCUCCAACGCAAUUUGUUGCGAUCAAUCGAGAUGGAGUGUAGAGUUUUGACGUCUAAAUCAGCUCGGGUGAUAAAACACCACCCCCUUCGCUCUAUCUGUCUUUGUUGACAGUGUUGCUUGUGGUAAUUCCACGAACUUCUUUUAAUUGGUGGCUGGCUCCUUUGAAUUUAUGGCUGAGAUCGACGCGACGUUUGUGGAUGGAUGAUGCGGUCUUCCUUCACUUCAUCUCCGCGAUGCUGCAUGGUUGUGUUUUUGGCGUCUAUUGGGGGAGUCGAAUCGGGUUGAUCGUGACACACUGUUGCCGUGGUGGUAGCAGACAUCUUGAAUUUUCUUUUGAUUUGUUUCUGGUUUUGGGCUCAUUUUGAUUUGCUCGGGAGGUCCAUUUUUUGCUUUUUGUAUUUGGGCCUUUACCGUGUAAGCUAGUGUUAUUGGUAAUAAAAUUUAGUUAUGCAUUAUGGCCGUUGAUUUGCACCAAAGGAGCCUAAAAAAAUAGAAGAUCUGACUAGAACCAAGCGGGCCCACAACCAAACCCCUUACCCAAUAGCCUUCUCCAACCUCGGCAUCCGUUCUUCGCGCGGCGCCUCCCACGCAACCACCACUCAGCGACUUGGCGAGCACCGCAGCGUAGCGCUAAUAGCAAAGCAAAACGAACCGGCUUUCUCCACAAAACGCAGAGCCCUAGCUGCACAGACCACGUUUUCCCAUCGUGCCACGUGUAAUCCGUUCCCACCUCGCUCUCUCU